RNAcentral lists this long non-coding RNA (856 nucleotides) under Sorghum bicolor (sorghum). RNAcentral's name for it is "long non-coding RNA (SBIC_LNC002294)". The record is from RNAcentral. Lineage: Eukaryota; Viridiplantae; Streptophyta; Magnoliopsida; Poales; Poaceae.
AGGCAAGAAGGAAGGGUGACUGCUUUGGUGUAAAACGGAGCUCAUUUAUAAAAUGUAGAUGAGAUUUCACCAUGAAGCAUAGGGAUUUUAAAGAAAAAAGGUGAUGUCCUUCAAGAAGCAGCUCAUGCAAUUGCUACUGUGCGAGAAGAUGGGCUGCUCAACAUACACCAAAUAGCACAGAAUUUUGACUGCCACAUUUAUUGCCAUGAUUGGCCUUGGCAAAUCGGUGCCCUUGAGUUUCAAAUCGUCACAUUCAUUGCCUUGAUUGGCAAUGGCAAAGCAGCCUGUUUUUUUUUCGAAUACAGGCAAAACAGUAUUUUGAUAUGUUUUGCCAACCAUGACAAGUCCCCUAACGAGGGUGUUACUUUUCCUGGCAAGUGAUGAUUGUACAUGUCACUAACACCACACAUAUAUUGGAGCUACUGCCUGAUUGGCUUCCUUUGAUCAGCUGUAAAACCAUGGUUACCCAUUUGAGGCAACCAUCAUUAUUCCCAAGCUUCCCUUCAUUAAAAUGUUUCUUCAAAGUGGUAACCCCUUUGCAGUAAAUUUGAUCCUUGAAUCUUGAUGGUAAUUGAUCACCAAGUAAAAUCUGGAGUUUUGUAAUGUGAACUGUUAAAUAGAAGGAUUGCUAUAAUCAUGCAGUUGUAGCCUGAGUUACAAAACCAGAUGGACAUUCUUAUUCAUUCUUCAUAUGCCACAUGUUUCCUGCCCAAAAGUUUGUGCCACAGAUUAACUCCAGGUUGGCUUGAUGCUGAAUAGCUCAACCUUCGUCACAUACCUCUGAUCGAGUACCUGGAAUCGUGUAGAGUUCAAGUUUUGUUAUUCAUCAAUGCAAACCAUAUAAAUAGGAGUUCUU